CCUACGGGAGGCAGCAGUGGGGAAUUUUGGACAAUGGGCGCAAGCCUGAUCCAGCUAUUCCGCGUGUGGGAUGACGGCCUUCGGGUCGUAAACCACUUUUGUAGAGAACGAAAAGUCUGUUGAUAAUACCGUUAGAUGAUGACGGUACCCUACGAAUAAGCACCGUCUAACUACGUGCCAGCAGCUGCGGUAAUACGUAGGGUGCGAGCGUUAAUCGGAAUUACUGGGCGAAAAGGGUGUGCAGGCGGUUUUGCAAGCUGGAUGUGAAAUUCUCGGGCUUAACCUGGGAACUCCAUACAUGACUGCAAGACUAGAGUGCGUCAGAGGGGGGUGGAAUUCCAAGUGUAGCAGUGAAAUGCGUAGAGAUUUAGAAGAACACCGAUGGCGAAGGCAGCCCCCUGGGACACAACUGACGCUCAUACACGAAAGCGUGGGGAGCAAACAGGAUUAGAUACCCGUGUAGUC
This 465-nucleotide ribosomal RNA is filed under the name uncultured bacterium. RNAcentral's name for it is "partial 16S ribosomal RNA". It matches the Rfam family "Bacterial small subunit ribosomal RNA", at positions 338 to 795 of the family's 1533-position model. The record is from RNAcentral.